This 465-nucleotide ribosomal RNA is filed under the name uncultured bacterium. RNAcentral's name for it is "partial 16S ribosomal RNA". It matches the Rfam family "Bacterial small subunit ribosomal RNA", at positions 28 to 507 of the family's 1533-position model. The record is from RNAcentral.
GAUGAACGCUGGCGGCGUGCUUAACACAUGCAAGUCGAACGGAAAGGCUCCUGCUUGCCGGGGUACUCGAGUGGCGAACGGGUGAGUAACACGUGGGUGAUCUGCCCUGCACUUCGGGAUAAGCCUGGGAAACUGGGUCUAAUACCGGAUAGGACGAUGGUUUGGAUGCCAUUGUGGAAAGUUUUUCGGUGUGGGAUGAGCUCGCGGCCUAUCAGCUUGUUGGUGGGGUAAUGGCCUACCAAGGCGUCGACGGGUAGCCGGCCUGAGAGGGUGUACGGCCACAUUGGGACUGAGAUACGGCCCAGACUCCUACGGGAGGCAGCAGUGGGGAAUAUUGCACAAUGGGCGCAAGCCUGAUGCAGCGACGCCGCGUGGGGGAUGACGGCCUUCGGCUUGUAAACUCCUUUCGCUAGGGACGAAGCGCAAGUGACGGUACCUGGAGAAGAAGCACCGGCUAACUACGUG